This 445-nucleotide ribosomal RNA is filed under the name uncultured Anaerolineaceae bacterium. Its description in RNAcentral is "bacterial SSU rRNA". It matches the Rfam family "Bacterial small subunit ribosomal RNA", at positions 924 to 1382 of the family's 1533-position model. Lineage: Bacteria; Bacillati; Chloroflexota; Anaerolineae; Anaerolineales; Anaerolineaceae. The record is from RNAcentral.
CACAAGCAGCGGAGCGUGUGGUUUAAUUCGUUGCUACACGAAGAACCUUACCUGGGUUUGACAUAUAGGUUGUAGGGAACUGAAAAGGGACCGACCCUUCGGGGAGCCUAUACAGGUGUUGCAUGGCUGUCGUCAGCUCGUGUCGUGAGAUGUUCGGUUAAGUCCGCUAACGAGCGCAACCCUCGUCGUAUGUUAUAUGUGUCAUACGAGACUGCCGGUAAAAAGCCGGAGGAAGGUGAGGAUGAUGUCAAGUCAGCAUGACCUUUAUAUCCAGGGCUACACACACGCUACAAUGGUCUGUACAAUGGGUAGCCAAGCCGCGAGGCGGAGCCAAUCCUGAAAGCAGGCCUCAGUUCAGAUUGCAGUCUGCAACUCGACUGCAUGAAGCCGGAGUUGCUAGUAACCGCAGGUCAGCAAUACUGCGGUGAAUACGUUCCCGGGUCUU